AUCAUUUAUGCUCAUAUCUGUUAUACUAAAUACAAGGAAUUAACCUAAAAAAAAUCAAAUAGUCACUUCAUCAAAGGUAUUUGCUCAACUAUUACUACUUGAGAACGAGAUAAAACAAAUUCAGAAAAGGAAACAUUCUUCUAAAUGUAGUUUGUUAUAUCCCAGGAAUAACAGCUAAAAUUGUAUUAUUAACUCACCACAAGUUUCUCACAUAGGACUUCACAGCUCAGAAUGAGUCAAUAAAUAUUUGACAUAUGACGCCCAUUUUGCUUUGGGGGAAAAGCUUUUAACAAAACAAUACAAAAAUUUUCUAUGUACUAAGAAUAAGUUAGGAUCACUGAGCACCAGGGGCUCAUGCCUGUCUGUUAUCUUGGCUACUCAGGAGGCUAAGAUGUAGGGAUCAUAAUUCAAAGCAGACCGGGCAAGAAAGUUUAUGAAACUCUUAUCUCCAAUAAAGCACCAGAAAGCUGAAGUAGAGUUGUGGCUGAAGUGUUAGAGAGCUAGCCUUCAGCAAAAAAGCUCAGAGAGUGCCUAGACCCUGAGUACAAGCCCUAGGACUGGGAGCCGGGGAAGAAAACACAAAAGAUGUGAAUGUUUAAAGUAUAUUCUCUACUUUGUAUUGUAUGCACUUACAACAUUUCAUAUUAACCUAAGAACCCACCAAGUGAUGAAUGGCUAAAUUAAGAUGUAGUAGAUUUGUGAAAUUUCUGAUAAGCUAAGGGAAGGAACACAGAAACAAAGGACCACAAUGUAUAUGUGUGGUUCCACAUAUAUGAAACAUCUAGUAUAGAUAAAUCUGUAAUGACUGAAAGAUUACUAGGAGCUGGGGUUGGGAGGAAUAAGAACUGGAGUAAAAGUUUCAUUUUCAUGGUAGGAAAAUAAAUUCUAGAAGUUCAUAGUAUGGAUGGUUAGAGCACUAUGAAUAGUAUACCUUAAAAGUGUGACUUUUAUGAUGUCUGAGUUACAACUCAAUGAAACUCCCUUUAAAAAGAGAAUAAAAACAAUGUGGGAGGAAGGGGCUGGGAAUAUGACCUAGUGGCAAGAGUGCUUGCCUC
Molecule: long non-coding RNA, 1055 nt
Organism: Perognathus longimembris pacificus (Pacific pocket mouse)
Lineage: Eukaryota; Metazoa; Chordata; Mammalia; Rodentia; Heteromyidae
Exons: 3
Source: RefSeq, a predicted model, not a curated record